GGAUACUGUAAAAUUGUCUGAAACCCAUCAACAAAAUUGUGCAUUUAGUUAACAUUAUUAGGUGUAAAAUAAUGUAUGUGAGGUUGUAACCUAAACCCUAAACCAGGUGCAAAACCAUUUGCGAACAGAAGAGAAAGAGGAAAACCUUACCGAUCGUUUUACCCAAGCGACGCAGAGGAGUGCGGGGGUACACGACUGUCACGGUCGACGGUCGACGAGCAACAACAGAAGGGUCAGUAAAUGGCAAUGUAGCAGUGAUGGUUGGGGCACAGCAGACUAGGGUUCUAAAUUUGGGGGAUUUUUGGGGAAAAUUUGGGGGGAAUUUUUGGGGAGAAAACUGAUUUGUCGGGUAAGGGAUUGGACUAUUUGGGAUGAAAUACAGACACUAUAAAACGACAGCGUCUUACCAAACUGAACAUUUGUGGCGUUUCUAAUAUAGCGCCACUAAUGCCCUUAAGGUGUCAUGUAAAACGACAGCGUUUCUCUAAAAUGGGCAGAAAAUUUACGGCGUUUUAUAUAAUAGCGCCGCUAAAACCUACCUACAGUGGCGUUUUAGGCGUUGCGCCGCUAAAUCCGAAUAAAAAAUUCCCAAACAAAAAUUACAUCGUUUUGCCCAAACUAAUAAUAUUUUUCCGGCGUUUAUGAAUAAAACGCCGCUAAAUCAAUUUUUCGUGGCGUUUUAUACAAAAACGCCACUAAUACAUUAAUUUCUUUUAUUGAAACGCCAUCGUUUUCAGAUAUUUUAAAACAUUGUUUUUUUAAUUAAUAUUAAAAAAACAAUAUAAAAUUAAAAAUUGCGGCGUUUUCACCUGAGCGCCGCUAAUACCAUUAAUAUGC
This 837-nucleotide long non-coding RNA is filed under the name Gossypium raimondii (Peruvian cotton). Its description in RNAcentral is "long non-coding RNA (GRAI_LNC010413)". Lineage: Eukaryota; Viridiplantae; Streptophyta; Magnoliopsida; Malvales; Malvaceae. The record is from RNAcentral.